UUCUUAUCAAGAGUGGUGGAGGGACUGGCCCUAUGAAGCCCAGCAACCUGCUAAAGUAAUAGCAAGUUUUAAAUAUAUUUUUAUAUUUAAAGUGUUAUUUUAGUGUGGUGCUAAAUCCUGCAGAUUUAAUAUCUGAUAGAUAAGGG
This is a regulatory RNA element of Clostridium baratii str. Sullivan, 146 nucleotides long. It matches the Rfam family "SAM riboswitch aptamer (S box leader)". Rfam says of the family: The SAM riboswitch is found upstream of a number of genes which code for proteins involved in methionine or cysteine biosynthesis in Gram-positive bacteria. The SAM riboswitch acts at the level of transcription termination control. The record is from Rfam. Lineage: Bacteria; Bacillati; Bacillota; Clostridia; Eubacteriales; Clostridiaceae.